Oncorhynchus keta (chum salmon) is the source of this 620-nucleotide long non-coding RNA. RefSeq lists it as uncharacterized. The transcript has 3 exons. Lineage: Eukaryota; Metazoa; Chordata; Actinopteri; Salmoniformes; Salmonidae. The record is from RefSeq and is a predicted model, not a curated record.
CCGACUGCUCAGACAGGUGAGGACAGCCGACUGCUCAGACAGGUGAGGACAGCCGACUGCUCUGACAGGGGAGGGCAGCCGACUGCUCAGACAGGUGAGGACAGCCGACUGCUCAGACAGGUGAGGACAGCCGACUGCUCAGACAGGUGAGGACAGCCGACUGCUCUGACAGGUGAGGACAGCCGACUGCUCUGACAGGUGAGGACAGCCGACUGCUCUGACAGGUGAGGGCAGCCGACUGCUCAGACAGGUGAGGGCAGCCGACUGCUCAGACAGGUGAGGGCAGCCGACUGCUCAGACAGGUGAGGGCAGCCGACUGCUCAGACAGGUGAGGACAGCCGACUGCUCAGACAGGUGAGGGCAGCCGACUGCUCAGACAGGUGAGGACAGCCGACAGCUCAGACAGGUGAGGGCAGCAGACAGGUGAGGACAGCCGACUGCUCUGACAGGUGAGGACAGCCGACUGCUCUGACAGGUGAGGGCAGCCGACUGCUCAGACAGGUGAGGGCAGCCGACUGCUCAGACAGGUGAGGGCAGCCGACUGCUCAGACAGGUGAGGACAGCCGACUGCUCAGACAGGUGAGGACAGCCGACAGCUCAGACAGGUGAGGACAGCCGAC